This 323-nucleotide unclassified non-coding RNA is filed under the name soil metagenome. Its description in RNAcentral is "partial contains 5.8S ribosomal RNA, internal transcribed spacer 2, and large subunit ribosomal RNA". The stretch from base 1 to 120 matches the Rfam family "5.8S ribosomal RNA", at positions 35 to 154 of the family's 154-position model. The record is from RNAcentral.
GAUGAAGAACGUAGCGAAAUGCGAUAAGUAGUGUGAAUUGCAGAAUUCAGUGAAUCAUCGAAUCUUUGAACGCACAUUGCGCCCCUUGGUAUUCCAUGGGGCAUGCCUGUUCGAGCGUCAUUUGUACCUUCAAGCUUUGCUUGGUGUUGGGUGUUUGUCCCUCGGGACUCGCCUUAAAGUCAUUGCAGCCAGUGUUUUGGUUUUGAAGCGCAGCACAAGUCGCGAUUCAAGGCUAUCCGCCCGCUUCCACAAGCCUUUUUCACUUUUGACCUCGGAUCAGGUAGGGAUACCCGCUGAACUUAAGCAUAUCAAUAAGCGGAGGA